UGGUGAAUAAUGUAGAAGAACGGUUGAGGGCGAAUUAAUGAAACCGGCCUGCUGAGUCCGGCGGCGCGGCAGGUGGACGACGGACGCGGCGAAUGAGCUGAGGAACUAGAAGUCGUCGAGCAGCGUCUGCUAGGUGCCCUUCGAGGUCUUGACGAAGAAAGGGCCGGUCGCCACCAGGCCCACUAUUCAGUGCGCCGGUAGGUGGCUCAGCUACUACGCCAGGAAGUAGAGCUUCAUGGAGAACAAC
RNAcentral lists this ribosomal RNA (247 nucleotides) under Triticum aestivum (bread wheat). RNAcentral describes it as "partial small subunit ribosomal RNA". Lineage: Eukaryota; Viridiplantae; Streptophyta; Magnoliopsida; Poales; Poaceae. The record is from RNAcentral.